CUGGCCGUGACAGAUGGAUAACCGGGAGAAAUCCCGCCUAAUACAACAUAAUGCCGGGAGGGGACAUCCCCUGCCGGCCAAAGGGGGCGACCCCGGUCACGGAUGGGCAUGCGGCGCAUUAGGUAGUUGGUGGGGCAACGGCCCACCAAGCCGACGAUGCGUAGGGGUUCUGAGAGGAAGGUCCCCCACAUUGGAACUGAGACACGGUCCAAACUCCUACGGGAGGCAGCAGUGAGGAAUAUUGGUCAAUGGCCGGAAGGCUGAACCAGCCAAGUCGCGUGAGGGAAUAAGGCCCUACGGGUCGUAAACCUCUUUUGCCAGGGAGCAAUGCCGUCCACGUGUGGACGGAAGGAGAGUACCUGGAGAAAAAGCAUCGGCUAACUCCGUGCCAGCAGCCGCGGUAAUACGGAGGAUGCGAGCGUUAUCCGGAUUUAUUGGGUUUAAAGGGUGCGUAGGCGGCCUGCCAAGUCAGCGGUAAAAUUGCGGGGCUCAACCCCGUACAGCCGUUGAAACUGCCGGGCUCGAGUGGGCGAGAAGUAUGCGGAAUGCGUGGUGUAGCGGUGAAAUGCAUAGAUAUCACGCAGAACCCCGAUUGCGAAGGCAGCAUACCGGCGCCCGACUGACGCUGAGGCACGAAAGUGCGGGGAUCAAACAGGAUUAGAUACCCUGGUAGUCCGCACAGUAAACGAUGA
RNAcentral lists this ribosomal RNA (692 nucleotides) under uncultured bacterium. RNAcentral's name for it is "bacterial SSU rRNA". It matches the Rfam family "Bacterial small subunit ribosomal RNA", at positions 126 to 812 of the family's 1533-position model. The record is from RNAcentral.